This 500-nucleotide ribosomal RNA is filed under the name uncultured bacterium. Its description in RNAcentral is "partial 16S ribosomal RNA". It matches the Rfam family "Bacterial small subunit ribosomal RNA", at positions 30 to 523 of the family's 1533-position model. The record is from RNAcentral.
AUUGAACGCUGGCGGAAUGCUUUACACAUGCAAGUCGAACGGCAGCACGGACUUCGGUCUGGUGGCGAGUGGCGAACGGGUGAGUAAUGUAUCGGAACGUGCCCAGUCGUGGGGGAUAACGUAGUGAAAAUUACGCUAAUACCGCAUACGAUCUAUGGAUGAAAGCGGGGGAUCGCAAGACCUCGCGCGAUUGGAGCGGCCGAUAUCAGAUUAGGUAGUUGGUGGGGUAAAGGCCCACCAAGCCAACGAUCUGUAGCUGGUCUGAGAGGACGACCAGCCACACUGGAACUGAGACACGGUCCAGACUCCUACGGGAGGCAGCAGUGGGGAAUUUUGGACAAUGGGCGAAAGCCUGAUCCAGCCAUUCCGCGUGCAGGAUGAAGGCCCUCGGGUUGUAAACUGCUUCUGUACAGAACGAAAAGGUUUCUACUAAUACCAGGAGCUCAUGGCGGUACCGUAAGAAUAAGCACCGGCUAACUACGUGCCAGCAGCCGCCGUAA